This 255-nucleotide ribosomal RNA is filed under the name uncultured bacterium. RNAcentral's name for it is "partial 16S ribosomal RNA". It matches the Rfam family "Bacterial small subunit ribosomal RNA", at positions 1247 to 1500 of the family's 1533-position model. The record is from RNAcentral.
AGGCAAAGCCGCGAGGCAGAGCAAACCCCUAAAAAGACCAUCCCAGUUCGGAUUGCAGGCUGCAACCCGCCUGUAUGAAGUUGGAAUCGCUAGUAAUCGCGGAUCAGCAUGCCGCGGUGAAUACGUUCCCGGGCCUUGUACACACCGCCCGUCACACCAUGAGAGUCGGGAACACCCGAAGUCCGUAGCCUAACCGCAAGGAGGGCGCGGCCGAAGGUGGGUUCGAUAAUUGGGGUGAAGUCGUAACAAGGUAUC